This 701-nucleotide ribosomal RNA is filed under the name Poltys sp. A MG-2015. Its description in RNAcentral is "SSU rRNA". It matches the Rfam family "Eukaryotic small subunit ribosomal RNA", at positions 419 to 1135 of the family's 1831-position model. Lineage: Eukaryota; Metazoa; Arthropoda; Arachnida; Araneae; Araneidae. The record is from RNAcentral.
CAAGGAGGCAGCAGGCGCGCAAAUUACCCCACUCCCGGCUCGGGGAGGUAGUGACGAAAAAUAACAAUACGGGACUCUUUUGAGACCCCGUAAUUGGAAUGAGUACACUCUAAAAUCCUUUAACGAGGAUCCAUUGGAGAGCAAGUCUGGUGCCAGCCGUCGCRGUAAUUCCAGCUCCAAUAGCGUAUAUUAAAGUUGUUGCGGUUAAAAAGCUCGUAGUUGGAUCUCAGCUCCGGCCGGACGGUCCGCCUACCGGUGGUUACUGUUCGUCGCCGAGCGUUCAGGCGGUUAUUCUUGAUGAUCUUCACCGGUUGUCUCGGGUGACCGCCAAGUUUACUUUGAAAAAAUUAGAGUGCUCAAAGCGGGCGUGAUGCCUGAAUAAUUGUGCAUGGAAUAAUGGAAUAGGACCUCGGUUCUAUUUUGUUGGUUUUCGGAACACGAGGUAAUGAUUAAGAGGGACAGACGGGGGCAUUCGUAUUGCGACGCUAGAGGUGAAAUUCUUGGACCGUCGCAAGACGAACUACUGCGAAAGCAUUUGCCAAGAAUGUUUCCAUUAAUCAAGAACGAAAGUUAGAGGUUCGAAGGCGAUCAGAUACCGCCCUAGUUCUAACCAUAAACGAUGCCAGCCAGCGAUCCGGCUGUGUUCCUCAAUGACACGCCGGGCAGCUUCCGGGAACCAAAGCUUWGGGUUCCGGGGAAGU